RNAcentral lists this ribosomal RNA (1005 nucleotides) under Pseudomonas aeruginosa. Its description in RNAcentral is "bacterial SSU rRNA". It matches the Rfam family "Bacterial small subunit ribosomal RNA", at positions 56 to 1064 of the family's 1533-position model. The record is from RNAcentral. Lineage: Bacteria; Pseudomonadati; Pseudomonadota; Gammaproteobacteria; Pseudomonadales; Pseudomonadaceae.
UGCAAGUCGAGCGGAUGAAGGGAGCUUGCUCCUGGAUUCAGCGGCGGACGGGUGAGUAAUGCCUAGGAAUCUGCCUGGUAGUGGGGGAUAACGUCCGGAAACGGGCGCUAAUACCGCAUACGUCCUGAGGGAGAAAGUGGGGGAUCUUCGGACCUCACGCUAUCAGAUGAGCCUAGGUCGGAUUAGCUAGUUGGUGGGGUAAAGGCCUACCAAGGCGACGAUCCGUAACUGGUCUGAGAGGAUGAUCAGUCACACUGGAACUGAGACACGGUCCAGACUCCUACGGGAGGCAGCAGUGGGGAAUAUUGGACAAUGGGCGAAAGCCUGAUCCAGCCAUGCCGCGUGUGUGAAGAAGGUCUUCGGAUUGUAAAGCACUUUAAGUUGGGAGGAAGGGCAGUAAGUUAAUACCUUGCUGUUUUGACGUUACCAACAGAAUAAGCACCGGCUAACUUCGUGCCAGCAGCCGCGGUAAUACGAAGGGUGCAAGCGUUAAUCGGAAUUACUGGGCGUAAAGCGCGCGUAGGUGGUUCAGCAAGUUGGAUGUGAAAUCCCCGGGCUCAACCUGGGAACUGCAUCCAAAACUACUGAGCUAGAGUACGGUAGAGGGUGGUGGAAUUUCCUGUGUAGCGGUGAAAUGCGUAGAUAUAGGAAGGAACACCAGUGGCGAAGGCGACCACCUGGACUGAUACUGACACUGAGGUGCGAAAGCGUGGGGAGCAAACAGGAUUAGAUACCCUGGUAGUCCACGCCGUAAACGAUGUCGACUAGCCGUUGGGAUCCUUGAGAUCUUAGUGGCGCAGCUAACGCGAUAAGUCGACCGCCUGGGGAGUACGGCCGCAAGGUUAAACUCAAAUGAAUUGACGGGGGCCCGCACAAGCGGUGGAGCAUGUGGGUUAAUUCGAAGCAACGCGAAGAACCUUACCUGGCCUUGACUGCUGAGAACUUUCCGAAAUGGAUUGGGGCUUCGGGACUCAGACCAGGGGCUGCUGGCUGUCGUCACUCGGG